AGCGUACACGGUGGAUGCCUAGGCAGUCAGAGGCGAUGAAGGGCGUGCUAAUCUGCGAAAAGCGUCGGUAAGGUGAUAUGAACCGUUACAACCGGCGAUACCCGAAUGGGGAAACCCAGUGUGUUUCGACACACUAUCAUGUCAUGAAUACAUAGUGGCAUGAGGCGAACCGGGGGAACUGAAACAUCUAAGUACCCCGAGGAAAAGAAAUCAACCGAGAUUCCCCCAGUAGCGGCGAGCGAACGGGGAGGAGCCCAGAACCUGAAUCGGCUUGUGUGUUAGUGGAAGCGUCUGGAAAGUCGCGCAGCAAAGGGUGAUAGCCCCGUACACUAAAAUGCACAGGUCGUGAGUUCGAUGAGUAGGGCGGGACACGUGACAUCCUGUCUGAAUAUGGGGGGACCAUCCUCCAAGGCUAAAUACUCCUGACUGACCGAUAGUGAACCAGUACCGUGAGGGAAAGGCGAAAAGAACCCCGGCGAGGGGAGUGAAAUAGAACCUGAAACCGUGUACGUACAAGCAGUGGGAGCACCUUCGUGGUGUGACUGCGUACCUUUUGUAUAAUGGGUCAGCGACUUAUAUUUUGUAGCAAGGUUAACCGUAUAGGGGAGCCGUAGGGAAACCGAGUCUUAACUGGGCGAAUAGUUGCAAGGUAUAGACCCGAAACCCGGUGAUCUAGCCAUGGGCAGGUUGAAGGUUGGGUAACACUAACUGGAGGACCGAACCGACUAAUGUUGAAAAAUUAGCGGAUGACUUGUGGCUGGGGGUGAAAGGCCAAUCAAACCGGGAGAUAGCUGGUUCUCCCCGAAAGCUAUUUAGGUAGCGCCUCGUGAACUCAUCUUCGGGGGUAGAGCACUGUUUCGGCUAGGGGGCCAUCCCGGCUUACCAAACCGAUGCAAACUCCGAAUACCGAAGAAUGUUAUCACGGGAGACACACGGCGGGUGCUAACGUCCGUCGUGAAGAGGGAAACAACCCAGACCGCCAGCUAAGGUCCCAAAGUCAUGGUUAAGUGGGAAACGAUGUGGGAAGGCAUAGACAGCCAGGAUGUUGGCUUAGAAGCAGCCAUCAUUUAAAGAAAGCGUAAUAGCUCACUGGUCGAGUCGGCCUGCGCGGAAGAUGUAACGGGGCUAAACCAUGCACCGAAGCUGCGGCAGCGACGCUUAGGCGUUGUUGGGUAGGGGAGCGUUCUGUAAGCCGUUGAAGGUGGCCUGUGAGGGUUGCUGGAGGUAUCAGAAGUGCGAAUGCUGACAUAAGUAACGAUAAAGCGGGUGAAAAGCCCGCUCGCCGGAAGACCAAGGGUUCCUGUCCAACGUUAAUCGGGGCAGGGUGAGUCGACCCCUAAGGCGAGGCUGAAAAGCGUAGUCGAUGGGAAACAGGUUAAUAUUCCUGUACUUGGUGUUACUGCGAAGGGGGGACGGAGAAGGCUAGGCUAGCCGGGCGACGGUUGUCCCGGUUUAAGCGUGUAGGGGGUGUGACCUGGUAAAUCCGGUUACAUAUCAACCCUGAGGCGUGAUGACGAUGCACUACGGUGCAGAAGUAGUUGAUGCCCUGCUUCCAGGAAAAGCCUCUAAGCUCCAGGUAACAUUAAAUCGUACCCCAAACCGACACAGGUGGUCAGGUAGAGAAUACCAAGGCGCUUGAGAGAACUCGGGUGAAGGAACUAGGCAAAAUGGUGCCGUAACUUCGGGAGAAGGCACGCUGGCAUGUAGGUGAAGUCCCUUGCGGAUGGAGCUGAAGCCAGUCGAAGAUACCAGCUGGCUGCAACUGUUUAAUAAAAACACAGCACUGUGCAAACACGAAAGUGGACGUAUACGGUGUGACGCCUGCCCGGUGCUGGAAGGUUAAUUGAUGGGGUCAGCCGCAAGGCGAAGCUCUUGAUCGAAGCCCCAGUAAACGGCGGCCGUAACUAUAACGGUCCUAAGGUAGCGAAAUUCCUUGUCGGGUAAGUUCCGACCUGCACGAAUGGCGUAAUGAUGGCCAGGCUGUCUCCACCCGAGACUCAGUGAAAUUGAACUCGCUGUGAAGAUGCAGUGUACCCGCGGCAAGACGGAAAGACCCCGUGAACCUUUACUAUAGCUUGACACUGAACAUUGAGCCUUGAUGUGUAGGAUAGGUGGGAGGCUUUGAAGCGUGGACGCCAGUCUGCGUGGAGCCAUCCUUGAAAUACCACCCUUUAAUGUUUGAUGUUCUAACUCGGCCCCAUAAUCUGGGGUGAGGACAGUGUCUGGUGGGUAGUUUGACUGGGGCGGUCUCCUCCCAAAGAGUAACGGAGGAGCACGAAGGUUAGCUAAUCACGGUCGGACAUCGUGAGGUUAGUGCAAAGGCAUAAGCUAGCUUGACUGCGAGAGUGACGGCUCGAGCAGGUACGAAAGUAGGUCUUAGUGAUCCGGUGGUUCUGAAUGGAAGGGCCAUCGCUCAACGGAUAAAAGGUACUCCGGGGAUAACAGGCUGAUACCGCCCAAGAGUUCAUAUCGACGGCGGUGUUUGGCACCUCGAUGUCGGCUCAUCACAUCCUGGGGCUGAAGUAGGUCCCAAGGGUAUGGCUGUUCGCCAUUUAAAGUGGUACGCGAGCUGGGUUUAGAACGUCGUGAGACAGUUCGGUCCCUAUCUGCCGUGGGCGUUGGAAGAUUGAGAGGGGUUGCUCCUAGUACGAGAGGACCGGAGUGAACGCACCACUGGUGUUCGGGUUGUCAUGCCAAUGGCAUUGCCCGGUAGCUAAGUGCGGAAAAGAUAAGCGCUGAAAGCAUCUAAGCGCGAAACUUGCCUCAAGAUGAGUCUUCCCUGGGCCUUUAAGGCCCCUGAAGGAACGUUUAAGACUAAGACGUUGA
Molecule: ribosomal RNA, 2826 nt
Filed under: Serratia marcescens
Lineage: Bacteria; Pseudomonadati; Pseudomonadota; Gammaproteobacteria; Enterobacterales; Yersiniaceae
Description: bacterial LSU rRNA
Rfam family: Bacterial large subunit ribosomal RNA
Source: RNAcentral